UACGUAGGGGGCUAGCGUUGUCCGGAAUCAUUGGGCGUAAAGCGCGCGUAGGCGGCCCGGUAAGUCCGCUGUAAAAGUCAAAGGCUCAACCUUUGAAUGUCAGUGGAUACUGCCGGGCUAGAGUCCGGAAGAGGCGAGUGGAACUCCUGGUGUAGCGGUGGAAUGCGCAGAUAUCAGGAAGAACACCGACGGCGAAGGCAGCUCGCUGGGACGGUACUGACACUGAGGCGCGAAAGCGUGGGGAGCGAACAGG
Molecule: ribosomal RNA, 253 nt
Filed under: uncultured bacterium
Lineage: Bacteria
Description: partial 16S ribosomal RNA
Rfam family: Bacterial small subunit ribosomal RNA
Source: RNAcentral